This 669-nucleotide long non-coding RNA is filed under the name Medicago truncatula (barrel medic). Its description in RNAcentral is "lncRNA gene27473". The record is from RNAcentral. Lineage: Eukaryota; Viridiplantae; Streptophyta; Magnoliopsida; Fabales; Fabaceae.
AUGAUAACAAGAUAUACAACAAAAAGAUGUCAGCUGAACAUCCAAAAUUUCAUAGCACAAAUCAGUAAACCUCUUAUCUCUCAGAAGUUUCAAGAUUGUUGAAAAUCAUGGAAUCAUAGGGAGAAAGAUCAUAGAUGUAAGAAAGAGAGCAAGCAUAAGAGUACUCAUGUGGGAGAUACUCAUAGAGAUCCAUAUUGAAAUGAAAAUAUUUGAUUAAAAGAUGAUGAAUGAGUACAAUAGUGUUCCUAUAUAUAGAGAUUAGUUUGAGUAACUAACUCUAACUAACUUCUAACCAAACUACUAACUCUAUUUACUUAUCAACUAACUAUAGUUGAUUACAAUUACUCUAGUCUAACUACCUUAACUAACUACACAUAACUUCCAACUAUUUUAACAAAGAUCGCACUCCUCAAGUAAUACGUCACAGAAAUAUAAGACUAAGCUAAUUUGAAUAAAAUUUUCAUGAAGCACUUGAAGAAAGUGAAAUUUUUAAAAAAUAUUGCAAUAACUCCUGAGUUUUUCAAACAAAAGCUCAAAUCAUGAUCUUUUAAGCUUUACCACGUAGCUUCUUUUCAAACAACAACACCGAUCAGCUUGUAUGGACUAUUUCUCAAGUGAAGAACCAUAACAUUUCUUAAUUGAGAAACUCUGAUAAACCAUUAGCUAAUC